UACAGAGGUGUCUAGCGUUGUUCGGAUUCAUUGGGCGUAAAGGGCGCGUAGGCGGCGCGCUAAGUCGGGUGUGAAAUUUCGGAGCUUAACUCCGAAACUGCAUUCGAUACUGGCGUGCUUGAGGACUGGAGAGGAGACUGGAAUUCAUGGUGUAGCAGUGAAAUGCGUAGAGAUCAUGAGGAAGACCAGUGGCGAAGGCGGGUCUCUGGACAGUUCCUGACACUGAGGCACGAAGGCCAGGGGAGCAAACGGG
Molecule: ribosomal RNA, 253 nt
Filed under: uncultured bacterium
Lineage: Bacteria
Description: partial 16S ribosomal RNA
Rfam family: Bacterial small subunit ribosomal RNA
Source: RNAcentral